CCUACGGGUUGCAGCAGUGGGGAAUAUUGGGCAAUGGGCGCAAGCCUGACCCAGCCACGCCGCGUGAAGGAAGAAGGCUUUCGGGUUGUAAACUUCUUUUCUCAGGGACGAAGCAAGUGACGGUACCUGAGGAAUAAGCCACCGGUAACUACGUGCCAGCAGCCGCGGUAAUACGUCGGUGGCAAGCGUUAUCCGGAUUUACUGGGUGUAAAGGGCGUGUAGGCGGGGACGCAAGUCAGAUGUGAAAACCACGGGCUGAACCUGUGGCCUGCAUUUGAAACUGUGUGUCUUGAGUACUGGAGAGGCAGGCGGAAUUCCUGGUGUAGCGGUGAAAGGCGUAGAUAUUAGGAGGAACACCAGUGGCGAAGGCGGUCUGCUGGACAGCAACUGACGCUGAGGCGCGAAAGCGUGGGGAGCAAACAGGAUUAGAUACCCUAGUAGUC
Molecule: ribosomal RNA, 443 nt
Filed under: uncultured bacterium
Lineage: Bacteria
Description: partial 16S ribosomal RNA
Rfam family: Bacterial small subunit ribosomal RNA
Source: RNAcentral